Molecule: unclassified non-coding RNA, 2285 nt
Filed under: Eurytemora carolleeae
Lineage: Eukaryota; Metazoa; Arthropoda; Copepoda; Calanoida; Temoridae
Description: protein CASC3
Source: RNAcentral
AAUUGUGGAGAAACCGGGCGUGUCAAUAAAACGAUGCAAUGUGGUGGCGAGGAUUCCUCAUUAAGAUAUAAGAGAAAUAUGUCCGAUAAACGAAGGCGAAGGAAAGGUGUUGGAGAAGAAUCUGAGGGAUCUGAUCUAUCUGAGACUGAACCUGAUACAAAGGCCCUGGCAACUGAGCACGGGGAUUCUGAAUAUGAAAGUGCCGAUGACAACAUUGUUAACAGUCCGAAGCAUGUUGGUAAAGUGGAGGAUGUAGAGGAUGAUGAGGAUGAAGAAGAGAACGUAGAUGUAGACCUUGACGUUGUAGAAGAGGAUUUAGACUAUGACGGUGAGAACGAUGAGGAGGAUGGAGGUGGCGAGGAACCUUUUCCUGAAGUAGUCAGAGAGGAUGAUAAUGUAGAAGGAUCCCAAACACCAGUAGAUGAUGACGAGGAUAAAAAGAAUCCCCAGUAUAUUCCUAAAAAAGGAAUGUUUUACGAGCAUGAUAACAGACUUGGUACAGAUGAAGAGGAUAAUGUAGAAGAAACUCCGGAAGAUAAAAAGAAGAUUUGGAAAGCUGACGUUGUUGAAAGAUGGGGCCACGACAAGUUUGCUGAGUUUGAUCAGGAACCUAAAUCUAAAGACGAAUUGGUUGAAUCUUAUGGCUAUGAUAUAAGAAACGAAGAUAAUGCUCCAAGAGCCCGAAGAAGAAGGCGCUACGGCAGAGGACCUAAUAAGUACACCAGGAACUGGGAGGAUGAAGAUGCAUAUUCUAAACCAGUUGCGGGACAGAAGCCGAGAAAUCCUGGUUCAAAAGAUAAAUCUGGGAAUGACCAGUUAGAAGACUUUCCUGCUUUGCCAAGCAGAGAUGAAAAUGAUAAACCUAAUAAGUCGUCCAUAAAAAGUGAAAGUCUGAAUUCCGAGUUGAAGCCAGCAGUUGUUCGUGAUGUACCUAGAGCGAGUGCAGACAGAGAAGAUGGUUUCAGGCAUGAUAGGCGAGGCCGUGGAAAUGAUGAUGGCAUGAGAUCGAGAGGGAGGGGAGGUAGAGGAAUGCGAGGAGGAGGUUAUGAGCAGUCUAGGAGAGGAGGAGACCGAGGUAGAGGUGCAGAUCGGGGUCGGCCUGUAGGCUUUGGAAGGGGAGGAUACGAGGAUAGGAAGCGAUACAAUGAUAGACACGGUGGACAUGAUGAUAGAGGUUAUGAGGAUGAAUACCGUGGAGGGCGCGGGGGUAGAUCAAGAGGCAGGGGAAGUCGUGGUUUCGACGGAAUGGAACAAAAGCAGGGAAGAAGACACAUAAAGGACCCAGGUCUAACUCCUAGAACAGAGGAAUUAGGAGAUCAGGUCGCAAAUCUUGAUAUAAACAAGGAAAAUGAAAAUAGUGUUCCCCGAGGUAGCAAAAGAUAUUCGCAUCAGCGCAAGGGAGGAAUUGAAGUUCAGUCUUUAAGUUCUGAACAACAAAACCUUCAGGAGAUGCUAAAUGAAGGAAUUAAUCCAGCCAUGUGCUCCGGUCCUCCCAGUGGAGCUCCCUUCCAAUCUCAGAUACCCUCCCAGCGGUUACCACAUAACAAUAUAGUUUCACACUCAGGGGUAAGACCCGUUCCAGCAGCAUAUAUUCAAACAUCUCAGAUUAUGAACUUUAAUCCUCAAUACCCGGUCCCUGUCACCGUCUCAGCUGUAUCUCUUCCCAUGGGGGUAGGUGGAGUGCCAUUGGCUACUAUCCCUGCUAUGACCUCCAAUGGUGGGCCUCAAAUAAUUGGUCCUGGUUUCGCUAACGGACCUGACGCCGUAAUGCUAGCAGCCGCGCAACCUGGUCCAGAUGGAUUUGCUGCUGUUCGUGGAGGUGUUACAUACUUCAACCCUACAGCACAAAACAUUCUUCCUCAAAGACCGGUAUCUAAACGACCUAAGGCUGCUAUUCCCAUAGUGGAUCCGUCUGUGGUGGAAACAAAAGACUAUAUUGUUGAAAGUUCAAGACAAGAGCUUCCAUCUCAACUCUGAUUUUCAACAACAACAAAAACAAUCAACUCUUGCACAUAACAUUAAAAAAAUCAGAUUCUUACAAAUAGUGGUGGACUUCGUUUUAACAUCGUAUUUAACCAUUCAAGGUGAUUUGGCAGCUUGGAAACUAUGAAUCAGAUGAUGAGGAUUUUUCAAUCGGCCACCCUGGGAGGGGGGGGGGUGUCUUAUUUUAUUUGGGUUCUACACUCGAUAGGCAAUAAAAAUCGUGAAACGAGGAAGUUUUUUCACAGCUCAUGUUUUCUACACAAAACAAUAAAAUCACGGAAUAUUUUCGGAAAUGGAGCUAA